This 253-nucleotide ribosomal RNA is filed under the name uncultured bacterium. Its description in RNAcentral is "partial 16S ribosomal RNA". It matches the Rfam family "Bacterial small subunit ribosomal RNA", at positions 524 to 776 of the family's 1533-position model. The record is from RNAcentral.
UACGAAGGGGGCUAGCGUUGCUCGGAAUGACUGGGCGUAAAGGGCGCGUAGGCGGAUCGGCUAGUCAGGCGUGAAAUUCCUGGGCUCAACCUGGGGACUGCGCUUGAUACGUCUGGUCUAGAGUUUGGAAGAGGGUCGUGGAAUUCCCAGUGUAGAGGUGAAAUUCGUAGAUAUUGGGAAGAACACCGGUGGCGAAGGCGGCGACCUGGUCCUUGACUGACGCUGAGGCGCGAAAGCGUGGGGAGCACACAGG